GUGGGGAAUAUUGGACAAUGGGGGGAACCCUGAUCCAGCCAUGCCGCGUGUGUGAAGAAGGCCUUUUGGUUGUAAAGCACUUUAAGCAAGGAGGAGGCUACCGAGAUUAAUACUCUUGGAUAGUGGACGUUACUCGCAGAAUAAGCACCGGCUAACUCUGUGCCAGCAGCCGCGGUAAUACAGAGGGUGCAAGCGUUAAUCGGAUUUACUGGGCGUAAAGCGCGCGUAGGUGGCCAAUUAAGUCAAAUGUGAAAUCCCCGAGCUUAACUUGGGAAUUGCAUUCGAUACUGGUUGGCUAGAGUAUGGGAGAGGAUGGUAGAAUUCCAGGUGUAGCGGUGAAAUGCGUAGAGAUCUGGAGGAAUACCGAUGGCGAAGGCAGCCAUCUGGCCUAAUACUGACACUGAGGUGCGAAAGCAUGGGGAGCAAACAGGAUUAGAUACCCGUGUAGUCC
Molecule: ribosomal RNA, 451 nt
Filed under: uncultured bacterium
Lineage: Bacteria
Description: partial 16S ribosomal RNA
Rfam family: Bacterial small subunit ribosomal RNA
Source: RNAcentral